UGGGGAAUUUUGGACAAUGGGCGAAAGCCUGAUCCAGCAAUGCCGCGUGUGUGAAGAAGGCCUUCGGGUUGUAAAGCACUUUUGUCCGGAAAGAAAUCCUCUGGGUUAAUACCUCGGGGGGAUGACGGUACCGGAAGAAUAAGCACCGGCUAACUACGUGCCAGCAGCCGCGGUAAUACGUAGGGUGCAAGCGUUAAUCGGAAUUACUGGGCGUAAAGCGUGCGCAGGCGGUUUUGUAAGACGGAUGUGAAAUCCCCGGGCUUAACCUGGGAACUGCAUUCGUGACUGCAAGGCUAGAGUAUGGCAGAGGGGGGUAGAAUUCCACGUAUAGCAGUGAAAUGCGUAGAGAUGUGGAGGAAUACCGAUGGCGAAGGCAGCCCCCUGGGCCAAUACUGACGCUCAUGCACGAAAGCGUGGGGAGCAAACAGGAUUAGAUACCCUGGUAGUCCACGCCCUAAACGAUGUCAACUAGUUGUUGGGGAUUCAUUUCCUUAGUAACGUAGCUAACGCGUGAAGUUGACCGCCUGGGGAGUACGGUCGCAAGAUUAAAACUCAAAGGAAUUGACGGGGUCAUAGCUGUUUCC
RNAcentral lists this ribosomal RNA (584 nucleotides) under uncultured bacterium. Its description in RNAcentral is "partial 16S ribosomal RNA". It matches the Rfam family "Bacterial small subunit ribosomal RNA", at positions 355 to 937 of the family's 1533-position model. The record is from RNAcentral.